GACGAACGCUGGCGGCGUGCUUAACACAUGCAAGUCGAGCGGUAAGGCCCUUUCGGGGGUACACGAGCGGCGAACGGGUGAGUAACACGUGGGUGACCUGCCCUCAGCUCUGGGAUAAGCCUGGGAAACCGGGUCUAAUACCGGAUAUGACUCCAUGACGCAUGUUGUGGGGUGGAAAGCCUUGUGCGGCUGAGGAUGGGCCCGCGGCCUAUCAGCUUGUUGGUGGGGUGAUGGCCUACCAAGGCGACGACGGGUAGCCGGCCUGAGAGGGCGACCGGCCACACUGGGACUGAGACACGGCCCAGACUCCUACGGGAGCAGCAGUGGGGAAUCUUGCGCAAUGGGCGAAAGCCUGACGCAGCGACGCCGCGUGAGGGAUGACGGCCU
RNAcentral lists this ribosomal RNA (387 nucleotides) under uncultured bacterium. RNAcentral's name for it is "bacterial SSU rRNA". It matches the Rfam family "Bacterial small subunit ribosomal RNA", at positions 28 to 417 of the family's 1533-position model. The record is from RNAcentral.